RNAcentral lists this small nucleolar RNA (68 nucleotides) under Callorhinchus milii (elephant shark). RNAcentral describes it as "Small nucleolar RNA SNORD58 (ENSCMIG00000013956.1)". It matches the Rfam family "Small nucleolar RNA SNORD58". Rfam says of the family: snoRNA U58 is found in introns 1, 3 and 6 of the ribosomal protein RPL17 gene in humans. The record is from Rfam by way of RNAcentral. Lineage: Eukaryota; Metazoa; Chordata; Chondrichthyes; Chimaeriformes; Callorhinchidae.
CUGCAAUGAUGACCUUCUUAGGACACCUUUCGAUUAAUCGUGAAAAGAAUUUUUUUAGUCUGAGCUGC